UGGAUUCAGCGGCGGACGGGUGAGUAAUGCCUAGGAAUCUGCCUGGUAGUGGGGGACAACGUUUCGAAAGGAACGCUAAUACCGCAUACGUCCUACGGGAGAAAGCAGGGGACCUUCGGGCCUUGCGCUAUCAGAUGAGCCUAGGUCGGAUUAGCUAGUUGGUGAGGUAAUGGCUCACCAAGGCGACGAUCCGUAACUGGUCUGAGAGGAUGAUCAGUCACACUGGAACUGAGACACGGUCCAGACUCCUACGGGAGGCAGCAGUGGGGAAUAUUGGACAAUGGGCGAAAGCCUGAUCCAGCCAUGCCGCGUGUGUGAAGAAGGUCUUCGGAUUGUAAAGCACUUUAAGUUGGGAGGAAGGGUUGUAGAUUAAUACUCUGCAAUUUUGACGUUACCGACAGAAUAAGCACCGGCUAACUCUGUGCCAGCAGCCGCGGUAAUACAGAGGGUGCAAGCGUUAAUCGGAAUUACUGGGCGUAAAGCGCGCGUAGGUGGUUUGUUAAGUUGGAUGUGAAAUCCCCGGGCUCAACCUGGGAACUGCAUCCAAAACUGGCAAGCUAGAGUAUGGUAGAGGGUGGUGGAAUUUCCUGUGUAGCGGUGAAAUGCGUAGAUAUAGGAAUCAACCUGGGAAUGGCGAUGGUGACUGC
This 647-nucleotide ribosomal RNA is filed under the name Pseudomonas sp. EECC-144. Its description in RNAcentral is "bacterial SSU rRNA". It matches the Rfam family "Bacterial small subunit ribosomal RNA", at positions 87 to 728 of the family's 1533-position model. Lineage: Bacteria; Pseudomonadati; Pseudomonadota; Gammaproteobacteria; Pseudomonadales; Pseudomonadaceae. The record is from RNAcentral.